Danio rerio (zebrafish) is the source of this 764-nucleotide non-coding RNA. The record is from Ensembl. NCBI's taxonomy places the organism in Eukaryota, Metazoa, Chordata, Actinopteri, Cypriniformes, Danionidae.
CCAGCAUCGUUUUAACGUCUUUUAGAUUUGUGAAACGGCCUCAGUCGCCGCGUUAGGUCGUUUAUAACUAGUAUUUAACCUAAUACAAUGAACGGCGUUGGUGUCAUUUUAGGGGUGGAAGUUCAAGGCGUUUGUUUGAAGAUGGUGUUCACUGAGGGCUGUCACAGUCCACUGGAUAAUAACCAGAGGUUCUAGACCGGUGGGGUUUGAACCUAACGUUACAUCCAAAUGCAGCAAAUGAACUGACGUUUGUCCCCCGGUUGUUCAAAAGAUGAAACCCAACUUGUUAAAGAAAACAAAACUAUCCAGUCAAAAGAGCAAAGACAAACAGUUGCAAAAUGGUGAUAAGGAGCCCCUUCCAUCAGAUGUUGAUGCCAUCUGUGUUGGCACAGAUGCAACUGAAACAUCUAAUGAUAUGCUGAACUGUGUAAUGGACUGUUGUCCCAAAGUCACACAGAUGAGUCCAGAGCAAGGAGAGUUGGAAGCUUUGGGAGUCCUAAUGCUAUCAGAGCAACACCAGCAGCACAAUGUGAACCUGCAGCCUUGUCCUCCUGCGCUCAGAACAUUUGUUCCAAAGACAGAGCCAGAUCACUUUCCCUUAAACCAAACUAGUUUUCAGGUCAAAACUGAGCCUGGAAUUUAUGAAGUACUUCAGAGAGAGUCUACGUUGACUGUGGAAGAGAAAAAGGAGAGAUAUAAGGAAGUGAAGCUUGAGAUGCCAGAGGAAAACCUGCUGUGUAAUUCUGACCUGGAGGAAACCAUGG